GAUCAUGGCUCAGGACGAACGCUGGCGGCGUGCUUAACACAUGCAAGUCGAACGCUGAAGCCUAGCUUGCUGGGUGGAUGAGUGGCGAACGGGUGAGUAACACGUGAGUAACCUGCCCCCUUCUUUGGGAUAACGCCCGGAAACGGGUGCUAAUACUGGAUAUUCACUGAUCUUCGCAUGGGGGUUGUGGAAAGUUUUUCNGGUGGGGAUGGGCUCGCGGCCUAUCAGCUUGUUGGUGGGGU
Molecule: ribosomal RNA, 242 nt
Filed under: uncultured bacterium
Lineage: Bacteria
Description: partial 16S ribosomal RNA
Rfam family: Bacterial small subunit ribosomal RNA
Source: RNAcentral